This 468-nucleotide ribosomal RNA is filed under the name uncultured bacterium. RNAcentral describes it as "partial 16S ribosomal RNA". It matches the Rfam family "Bacterial small subunit ribosomal RNA", at positions 28 to 507 of the family's 1533-position model. The record is from RNAcentral.
GACGAACGCUGGCGGCGUGCUUAACACAUGCAAGUCGAACGGUGAAGCUCCAGCUUGCUGGAGCGGAUCAGUGGCGAACGGGUGAGUAACACGUGAGCAACCUGCCCCUGACUCUGGAAUAAGCGCUGGAAACGGCGUCUAAUACUGGAUACGAGAAGGGUCCGCAUGGGCACUUUCUGGAAAGUUUUUCGGUUGGGGAUGGGCUCGCGGGCUAUCAGCUUGUUGGUGAGGUAAUGGCUCACCAAGGCGACGACGGGUAGCCGGCAUGAGAGGGCGACCGGCCACACUGGGACUGAUACACGGCCCAGACGCCAACGGUAGGCAGCAGUGGGGAAUAUUGCACAAUGGGCGGAAGCCUGAUGCAGCGACGCCGCGUGAGGGAUGACGGCCUUCGGGUUGUAAACCUCUUUCAGCAGGGAAGAAGCGAAAGUGACGGUACCUGCAGAAGAAGCACCGGCUAACUACGUG